RNAcentral lists this ribosomal RNA (497 nucleotides) under uncultured bacterium. RNAcentral's name for it is "partial 16S ribosomal RNA". It matches the Rfam family "Bacterial small subunit ribosomal RNA", at positions 28 to 507 of the family's 1533-position model. The record is from RNAcentral.
GAUGAACGCUGGCGGCGUGCCUAAUACAUGCAAGUCGAGCGAACAGACGAGGAGCUUGCUCCUCUGACGUUAGCGGCGGACGGGUGAGUAACACGUGGAUAACCUACCUAUAAGACUGGGAUAACUUCGGGAAACCGGAGCUAAUACCGGAUAACAUGUUGAACCGCAUGGUUCAACAGUGAAAGACGGUCUUUCUGUCACUUAUAGAUGGAUCCGCGCCGCAUUAGCUAGUUGGUAAGGUAACGGCUUACCAAGGCAACGAUGCGUAGCCGACCUGAGAGGGUGAUCGGCCACACUGGAACUGAGACACGGUCCAGACUCCUACGGGAGGCAGCAGUAGGGAAUCUUCCGCAAUGGGCGAAAUCCUGACGGAGCAACGCCGCGUGAGUGAAGAAGGUCUUCGGAUCGUAAAACUCUGUUAUUAGGGAAGAACAAAUGUGUAAGUAACUAUGCACGUCUUGACGGUACCUAAUCAGAAAGCCACGGCUAACUACGUG